AAUUAGUUGUACAUGUAUGUGUAUUUAUAUUGAACAUAAUUAGCUAACCACAGCUCACAAUUUAUGCCCAUAUGCUCCAUGUAAUCUGUUUAUGGAACAGGUCAGAUGACAUAAUAUAGAUUUUGGCCAGUAAUCACAUUCUUUUUCCACAAACAACAUCUGAAAUGAUAAAGACAACAUCCACAUGAAUAGCUUCCAACAGGUAAAAUUAUUAUAACCCAUAUUUGCCAACCCAACUUUAAUCCCAUUUUGUUGGUCAAAUAUUUUGAGGAGAUGUAUGAUUCUAGCACGUGGCUCAGUAUUAUUAACUGGAAAGUAACUCUCAGGUAUCAAGGAUGUAGGACCAGGGAAUAUUGCAACUGGAGAGACAAGGAUGUAUGAGAAAGCUGAGCUGGGGGUGGAGCCACAUGCUCCAAGUUGGCCUUGAUAUAAAGGCCAAUCCAAAGCCUUGAUUUCACACAGCCUCAAUCUCAUUGUCCUUACUUGCCAGUUCCAGUAAAAGGUGCUCUCUCCUUUGUUCCCCCUCCAAAAAUGUUAUCAAAAGAUGCAGAGUUUUCCCUUCUCUGCUUUCUACCCCAUGACAGUACGGAAAUCACUGUCAUGUCCCCAGAAUGGAAGAAUUUGUCUCUUCUCUAGUUUUAUUCACAGUGAUGAAUAUAUUACCA
RNAcentral lists this long non-coding RNA (665 nucleotides) under Marmota monax (woodchuck). The record is from RNAcentral. Lineage: Eukaryota; Metazoa; Chordata; Mammalia; Rodentia; Sciuridae.